GGAAGCGUACUCAAGAGGCCCAAGAGGGCACCCUGCUAAGGUGUUAGAUCGGUUAUCCGGUGCGAGAGUUCGAAUCUCUCCGCUUCCGCCA
This 91-nucleotide transfer RNA is filed under the name Ureaplasma sp. RNAcentral's name for it is "tRNA-Ser". It matches the Rfam family "tRNA". From Rfam's summary of the family: Transfer RNA (tRNA) molecules are approximately 80 nucleotides in length. Lineage: Bacteria; Bacillati; Mycoplasmatota; Mycoplasmoidales; Mycoplasmoidaceae. The record is from RNAcentral.